CAGGGUUUCACCAAGUCACUAAGAUGUCCAGGUUGGGCUCAAACUUGAGAUCCUCCUGCCUCAGCCUCUCAAAAUGCUGAGAUUAUAAGCAUGUGCCAACACACCUCCAGGAGCUACUUUUGUUCCUUCAAUUUUCUUAGUAGUGGAAGAGAGUAUGAAGUUAGCAUGGAAAACUCCAGAUGUCACUGGGAGCAUGACGUUCUUGGAAGACAAAAAUCAACAAUUAUUAAUUUAAGUCCCAAGGCCCACAAAAGUCAAGGGUCUCACUAUGUAUUCCAAGCUGGCGUUGAAGUCACUGGGUACCCCAGGCAGGCCUUGAACUUGCUACCGCCUCCCAAGUGCUGGGAUUAUAG
Molecule: long non-coding RNA, 353 nt
Organism: Heterocephalus glaber (naked mole-rat)
Lineage: Eukaryota; Metazoa; Chordata; Mammalia; Rodentia; Bathyergidae
Source: Ensembl